Long non-coding RNA from Cucurbita maxima (winter squash), 159 nucleotides. RefSeq lists it as uncharacterized. The record is from RefSeq and is a predicted model, not a curated record. The transcript has 4 exons. NCBI's taxonomy places the organism in Eukaryota, Viridiplantae, Streptophyta, Magnoliopsida, Cucurbitales, Cucurbitaceae.
UAUUGGUCUAGAAAUACUCAACGAAAAAAGGCACGCGUCAACUAGGUAAGUCACCACCCGGUAUUUAGGAAGAAAUACUUGUAGGAUUCGCUUGGAUUGCAUGCAUGCUAGUACCUUUGCCUUAGAUUAGCUAUCCAUGAAUGAGAUUAGUCAGAUUGA